This is a long non-coding RNA of Calidris pugnax (ruff), 3320 nucleotides long. RefSeq lists it as uncharacterized. The record is from RefSeq and is a predicted model, not a curated record. The transcript is spliced from 10 exons. Lineage: Eukaryota; Metazoa; Chordata; Aves; Charadriiformes; Scolopacidae.
CCAUUCUGCUAGAUUCAGUAAUAUACAGACUUUCUUCCAAGAAAAGUUAUAUGAUAUCAGGCAAGUGUCUAUUGAUUUUCUGGUGAUGCUGAAGGAAGGAGAGCAGCAAUAAAUCUGUAUAACAGUUGCAGAGUGGCUUUCUAACUAAGUGGUUUGGAACUUGUAGCAAAAAAUUACUAAUACUUAAUAUCUAUAAAUAACCUUAUUUCUUUGGGUUUUUUGAAUGUUGUUGUUUCUACCUUUAAUAUCUUCAUUGAUUGCUUUAGCUGUUCUAGGGUGGUUUACAUAUGCGUAUGGACAAUUAUUUCAUUAGCUUCAACAUGUGCUGCAUUUAUGCAGUACCACAAAAUUGUAAAGUUUCUUAAAGUUGUAAAAUAUACAUGGCAUUUACAUAACCCAAAAGGUAAAAGACACUAAUUUGUUUGAAAUUGUCAUUUAAAUAUUUCAUUCACUCACAUUUAGAUUUAUUUAACAUUUAAAAGAAUAGUUUACUUUGCUGAUAUUUUUUCCCUGUUCUUACCCCUACAGUUACCACAAUCUGUAUUUCAGCCAUUAUAUUCACCUUUUAUUUGAGUGUUUUCACAAACUACUGCUUUUUGUAGUAUCUGUCUUAGAUUCCUGCAAUCAGUUGGGAUUUUUCUUGAAUGCCUAAGAAAUUCUGUUUAUCGUAAUGUUUACUGUUUCACCAUUGUGUAUGUGCCAAGUAUUUUGCAGAGCCAAAUGCAACAACUUUCAUUCAAACUGAAGCAUUGAACUGCCCCGUGCUGUGAUUGGGAGGACCACCCUUGUCUCAGCUCUCUAGUCAAGCCUGUGCUUGACUUUCCCUCUGUGCUUGUACAAGUGGUCUGUCCUUGAGCUUGUGUGACAUGAUCUCUAGUCCUGGCACUAAAUACAUCCUGGACCCUGCAAACAAGCUGACGGAAGUACUGAAGUGGGUGCCAUGCCUUGUCCCACCAAGGAUGAGUCGCAAGAAAAGGGCUGAAGCUUAUUUCAGAGCCCAUCCCCCUAGGAAAGGACAGAUGGAGAUAGGUGGGUACAAAGUCCUGGAGCAAAAGCUUGGUGGAAAAGUUCUGAGCCAGCCAGGGUGCUGACAUAAGGUGCCUGAGGUUAACCUGAUGCUGGGACAUCACACUGAAGCGUGGAAAUGGGUCUGAGUGACCAGGCUGCCUUCCUCUCUGCUGGGACACUUGGGCACCAACCCUGCGAGAAAGAGUAAUAGGCAUCACUGGCAUCACUGACACCAGGAGUGGUGGAUCAUUUCUCUACUUUGGCAGGGAGCUGCCAGUUGUAAACUUCCCUGCGGCUACAAAGACCGGUUGACUGAUGUUCAACCUCAGAGACUCAGAUCUGGGAUAGCAUGCAGCAAUGAACUUCGUACCUGAAAUUCUCCAUGUGAAUACAAAUAAGGCUGUUAUAAGUCACCAUUGAAGAACAGUUGGAUGGUAAUUGCAAGUAUUAAUAGACUUUGGAGAAGGAAAUUUUCAAAAGUGCUGAAUUGUGACCUCUGUGCAUUGGAACCCAUGGAAGCUUUAUUGCUUUAGCACUUUUUACCACAGUGUACCUUCUAGGUGACCAGUCUUUGGCUUUGACAGGCAAAAUGUGCAUCAGAUACCCUUCAGAGCUAAGGUAUUCCAAUGUGGCACAGAGAAGGAUAUCACUUGCUGAGUUAUGGAGGUUUCACCAUUGUGGUGGUAGUUUGUGUCUUGGACAUUUUAUCUGUGUGCAAUCAGAGAAAAAAAAAACUCUCUAAAUUGGACUGCAAGUCUACAUCUGCCAAGAACUUCUGCUCUUUUGUGAAUCCUGCUGCAAACGAUGACUCCUGUGGAUCAGAGUCUGGGGAACUGACAUUGGGAUACUCUGGCCAGGCUGUCUGUGCUUGACUGCAGGCCACAAGGAGCAGCGAGGGACAAUGGCACAAGUCUGGACAGAGUCAUAAUCCCACUACAGGCUGUCCUAGAGAGGUCUUGGAGUGCAUGGCCUGGUUCCUUCUGAAUACAGAUAAAGGAGAAAGCCGCUCCAGGAGGGCACCUGAUGCAUUCCAACAGCUAAUUGGCAUUCAGUCCACAGGACGAACUGCAGUUAACUCCAGAUGGAAAGCAAGUUUGACUGUCCAGAGCACGUGAAGUAUAGCUCCUUCGUCCUUUCUGUCCCCCUACAAGGAUAACAACAUUUCAGCCUCUGUCUCCAAAGCAACUGAAUUUUAAUUGACUCAACUGCAAUAUCCACACAGGCAGGGGAUGGCAGAACUUUCAAAAGAUUGUGGAAAUUGGGCACCAGCAUCAUUUUCAUCUAGCCAUUAGGUGAAAUAUCAAACCUCCUUACCUGUCCCUGGAAAUAGAUUCUUCGCUCCCACACUAAACUUCUGCAGGAAAAGUAUUAUUGUCCAAGUCAUGAUAACUCAGAAUAAGCAGUGCGUAAGGACAGUCUAAAUCAACUUCCAUUCGCCUGCCGUUCAGCGCUUUGGGACUCUUCGUCAGCAAGCUCCUUCUGACAGCUAUUUAUAGCUCAACAUUUCAGCAAGAUAAUUGCAGUGUACAUAGAGGCAGGGAGGCAGCACCAGUUAGAACUCUCCUACCCUUUCCAGCAACAUCUUGGCCUAUAUCCCGCCUACAUACACUGACUUGCAUCCCUACAUGCUUCAGUGAUACGUGACUGGCAGGAGCUGCAAGACUGGCCAAAUGAUAAUGCUUCAGAUCUGUGCUGCACAGCCAGCAAUGGCUGCACUAGCAGCAAGGCACUGGGGAUUCAGGCUUCUUGAAGCAAAGACUUUUUUAACAGGAAGAAGAAGGAAAACCGAGAAAAAUGGAAUUUGUAAGCAAGGAAACUAAGGAAUAAUGACUUCUAACUGUUGGUACUCAGAAUACGCCUUGGAAGAACCUCAGGCUAAGAGGAAAAAAUAUUCAGAACAGGAAAAGACUGCUCUGUGAAAUUACAGAACUUCUCUCCUCUGAGUCAAAGGAGAAGUGGGGUUUGGAGGAAGGUGGAAAAGACAUGGAAAAUGUUCUUGGGAAGUCCAACAUCCUGAAGCACUGCAAAAUGAGCUGCAGCUGCUCUCCAAAGCUGAUACAAGGACACAGCAUAUCUCGGCAGCUCUCCAAAGCUCUCCAAAGCUGAUACAAGGACGCAACACAUCUCGGCAACAGAAUGCCAAUGUAAAAGUGACAUAUAUGACCAGCUGUAGUACAGAUCAACCCAGAACUGUGGCCAUUCCACAUGUUUUUUGCAGUAAAUAAAGCUUUCUGUCCCAGCAAGCUCUUCGACAUCCAGAAUUCAUCUCAGAACUUACAGAGCCCCCUUCACCAUGGUACACCAUUCCCAAC